UUCUCUGGCGGGCCGCAUAGGGAGACCUUCGGGUCUGCCGGUAGCUAGGUAGCCGGUUCGCCAACCCUGUGCGGUUCCGCCUCCCAU
Molecule: non-coding RNA, 87 nt
Organism: Pseudomonas knackmussii B13
Lineage: Bacteria; Pseudomonadati; Pseudomonadota; Gammaproteobacteria; Pseudomonadales; Pseudomonadaceae
Source: Rfam